GACGAACGCUGGCGGCGUGCUUAACACAUGCAAGUCGAACGAUGAAGCCCUUCGGGGUGGAUUAGUGGCGAACGGGUGAGUAACACGUGGGCAAUCUGCCCUUCACUCUGGGACAAGCCCUGGAAACGGGGUCUAAUACCGGAUAACACUCCUCAGGGCAUCUUGAGGGGUUAAAAGCUCCGGCGGUGAAGGAUGAGCCCGCGGCCUAUCAGCUUGUUGGUGGGGUGAUGGCCU
This 234-nucleotide ribosomal RNA is filed under the name Streptomyces sp. E2HC-11. Its description in RNAcentral is "partial 16S ribosomal RNA". It matches the Rfam family "Bacterial small subunit ribosomal RNA", at positions 28 to 266 of the family's 1533-position model. The record is from RNAcentral. Lineage: Bacteria; Bacillati; Actinomycetota; Actinomycetes; Kitasatosporales; Streptomycetaceae.